AAUUUAUUUUAUUUAUUUAUUUUGCCAGGGUAAAUUUAACAUGAGGUAAUGACUUAAAUGUACAUCUCAGAUGAUUAAAAAAAAUUAAAAAUAAAAUAGAUAUAAAUGUAACUUUGACUAUUUGACACCUCACGUGCAAAGCCCGCGAAAGAACCAGAGGUUAUAUAAGCUGCGGUCGUCACAUCACGCGCACAGCCGGACUCUGAGUGGACAUCGCCUGACGGGAGAGCUUUCACGAGAUUGUCAUCCGAUUGAUGGAAGUGAUCAGUCUAGCAGUCAUCCUGCAUCUUGGAUUUAUUCAGUUUGUACAGACAUAUGCAUUAUCUUAUAUUGAGUGAUGCUUUUUCUUUUUCUCCCUUUUGUUUCUGUGUCAGUAGCUGCUGCACCCUAAAGCCUCCACAGCACUUGUCACAAGUCUUUGGCUUUAUUUGUCAAGAUCAUCUGAAAAGAGUUCACCUAUGCCAUUGAGCUGGAUGGAAAAACUGAGAAGUUUAUAAACAGAAGGCAUGGAAGAAGAGAGCAGGUCCUACAACAAAGAAAUUCUUCUUAAGGUAUGCUCCAAAUUUACCAUUUACCAUUGAGUUCACUGAGAUCUUACUAACUAUGUUUCAAUAUGUGUCCCCUCUUUAUCUCUUUCCUUUUUUCUGUCCAUCUUUUAGGAUAAACCUGAGGUCCUGGGAGAUCUUAGAGGUUCUAAUAUGUUUUUU
This is a long non-coding RNA of Onychostoma macrolepis, 707 nucleotides long. RefSeq lists it as uncharacterized. Lineage: Eukaryota; Metazoa; Chordata; Actinopteri; Cypriniformes; Cyprinidae. The transcript has 4 exons. The record is from RefSeq and is a predicted model, not a curated record.